AGCACUAUAUUUAAACCUAUGGAUGGGAAUUUUCCCCCCGUUCCUGGUUACGCUGUAGUGCAAUAAGAAUUCCUGGCUCUUUGAUGCACAGCUGACAUGUACCAUUUUGUUGUUGCUUUAUGGAGUUAAGGAACAUGA
Small nucleolar RNA from Acomys russatus (golden spiny mouse), 138 nucleotides. RefSeq annotates it as small nucleolar RNA SNORA46. Lineage: Eukaryota; Metazoa; Chordata; Mammalia; Rodentia; Muridae. The record is from RefSeq and is a predicted model, not a curated record. The transcript has a single exon.